GACAGAGGGUGCAAACGUUGUUCGGAAUUACUGGGCGUAAAGCGCGUGUAGGCGGCUAUGUAAGUCGGGCGUGAAAUCCCACGGCUCAACCGUGGAAGUGCACCCGAAACUGCGUAGCUAGAGUCCUGGAGAGGAAGGUGGAAUGCUUGGUGUAGAGGUGAAAUUCGUAGAUAUCAAGCGGAACACCGGUGGCGAAGGCGGCCUUCUGGACAGUGACUGACGCUGAGACGCGAAAGCGUGGGGAGCAAACAGG
RNAcentral lists this ribosomal RNA (253 nucleotides) under uncultured bacterium. Its description in RNAcentral is "partial 16S ribosomal RNA". It matches the Rfam family "Bacterial small subunit ribosomal RNA", at positions 524 to 776 of the family's 1533-position model. The record is from RNAcentral. RNAcentral also lists the same sequence under 1 other name.